UCAUUCUUUCCCCAAGGGAAGCUAUAUUCCUUGUGGGUGCCUACGGUAUCCUGAGUUGCUUACCUACGAAGUGGAAUUUGUUGGAUUUGUUGUGUUCAUCUGCCGCGUGCCCUUUGGGUGCGGCGCAGACRUGAGGCGGGCUCYGUGUUCUCAGCGUGCCGAGCGUAUUGUCGCUUGGCCGUUGCAGCCCAUAGAGGCUUAGCUUGUUCUCUCGGAUGCGGUAUGCUAUGUGUGGGCGCGAGGUCUAGGCCUCGAUGCGUCCAAGCACUGUCCCUUUAYCGGAACGACUGUCGUGCCCGUCUUGAUCUUYCCGACCAAGGCCUCAUCACAAUGGGGCUUACUGGACGAGGGUUGCUCAUGCGGACAUUGGCGUCGAAGAGGAAUGC
RNAcentral lists this unclassified non-coding RNA (386 nucleotides) under Muiriantha nodiflora subsp. lasiocalyx. Its description in RNAcentral is "Philotheca nodiflora subsp. lasiocalyx partial external transcribed spacer". The record is from RNAcentral. Lineage: Eukaryota; Viridiplantae; Streptophyta; Magnoliopsida; Sapindales; Rutaceae.